Molecule: unclassified non-coding RNA, 1823 nt
Filed under: Camponotus floridanus (Florida carpenter ant)
Lineage: Eukaryota; Metazoa; Arthropoda; Insecta; Hymenoptera; Formicidae
Description: heterogeneous nuclear ribonucleoprotein R, transcript variant X3
Source: RNAcentral
GACCCCGGACCAAUCAGAAUUCGCGCGAGCGAGAAAUGGCCAACGUCGUGUCGCUGGGUUCGAGCGUAUCUUUGCGCGUCGUUUUGUGAACCCCGUAGUCCCGCAAUAUCACGUUGACGUCUGUCGCCAUUUCCUCGCACGGAGGAGAGACCGUCCGUUUAUUUUGCAAGCAAUGGCAGAAGGAAAUGGGGAAAUAAAAAUGGAAGAAAAGCAAGAAAUGGAAAAUUUGGAAAGGACAGAAGAUUUUAACAAACUUAUGCAAUAUGGACUAGAUGAGAAAGUGGCUGCCAAACUGGACGAGAUUUAUAAAACGGGAAAAUUGGCUCAUGUUGAUCUAGAUGAAAGAGCUCUUGACGCUUUAAAAGAAUUUCCAGUUGAUGGUGCACUAAAUGUGCUUACACAAUUUCUGGAAUCUAAUCUAGAACAUGUAUCUAACAAAUCGGCAUACCUUUGUGGAGUAAUGAAGACAUACAGACAGAAGAGUCGUGCAGGUCAAGGAACAGGCACCAGCACAACACCUAAAGCCCCGGAUGAGGACAAAAUUAAAAUGAUUCUGGAGAGAACAGGAUAUCCUUUGGAUGUAACUACUGGACAAAGGAAAUAUGGUGGUCCUCCACCAAAUUGGGAAGGCCCAACUCCUGGCACUGGUUGUGAGGUAUUUUGUGGCAAAAUUCCAAAAGACAUGUAUGAAGACGAAUUAAUUCCGCUAUUCGAAAAAUGCGGAAAAAUAUGGGAUUUGAGACUGAUGAUGGACCCCAUGUCAGGUUCCAACAGAGGAUACGCAUUUAUCACAUUUACUAAUAGGGAAGCUGCACAGCAAGCUGUUCGAGAGCUCGAUAAUCACGAAAUAAAACCCGGCAAGAGUCUGAAAGUAAACAUUAGUGUUCCUAAUCUACGACUUUUCGUGGGAAACAUACCAAAGUCAAAAGGCAAAGAGGAGAUCUUGGAGGAAUUUGGUAAAUUAACAGCUGGCCUGACGGAGGUGAUUAUCUACAGCUCACCAGAUGACAAAAAGAAGAAUAGAGGUUUUUGCUUUUUGGAAUAUGAAUCUCACAAAGCAGCUUCCUUAGCCAAGCGAAGGUUGAGUACUGGACGUAUCAAGGUUUGGGGAUGUGAUAUUAUUGUUGAUUGGGCCGAUCCUCAAGAGGAACCAGAUGAACAGACUAUGUCCAAAGUACGUGUGCUCUAUGUACGAAAUUUAACGCAAGAUUGUUCUGAGGAGAAGUUGAAAGAAAGCUUCGAACAAUAUGGUAAAAUUGAGCGAGUGAAGAAAAUCAAGGAUUACGCCUUUAUACAUUUUGAAGAUAGAGAUAAUGCUGUUAAAGCAAUGAACGAAUUAAACGGCAAAGAAAUGGGUGGAUCUCACAUAGAAGUCUCGUUGGCGAAACCACCAUCUGAUAAAAAGAAGAAAGAAGAAAUGUUGCGCGCUAGAGAGAGACGAAUGAUGCAAAUGUUACAAGGUAGAGGCGGUUUUCCUUUUGAUAGUGGAUCUCCAUCUCAUCCGAGUAUGAUGGGUGGACCAAUGCCAGUUCGUGGACCUGCACAGGGACCUCGGGGAACCGGUGCAGGUAUGCGUGGACAAAUGGGACGAGGCGAUUAUGCUACCAGUGCAAUAGCUUGUGUCGCUUAAAAGUUCCUACGCCAACCAAUCAGUUCGCUUUUCGCUUUACUACAUUGGAUAACUCUGCUAACUCCUACUGCUGUAUGUAAAAACGUGGCUGGUCGUGGCCGUGGAGUAGUGCCACGUGGCCGAAUCGGUGGCCCGCAAGCCCGUGGGCCAGUCAGGGGGGGACGCAACCCCGCAGCUUCAGGGGUCCGUGGGG